Molecule: small RNA, 29 nt
Filed under: Bombyx mori (domestic silkworm)
Lineage: Eukaryota; Metazoa; Arthropoda; Insecta; Lepidoptera; Bombycidae
Description: ovarian small RNA-32076
Source: RNAcentral
UGACUUGUGUAAUGUGUACUUUCUCAGGG